GGGGUUGUGGCUCAGUGGUAGAGCGCUUGCCUAGCAUGCGUGAGGCACUGCGUUAGAUUCUCAGCAACAUAU
This 72-nucleotide transfer RNA is filed under the name Marmota monax (woodchuck). RNAcentral describes it as "tRNA.Ala". It matches the Rfam family "tRNA". From Rfam's summary of the family: Transfer RNA (tRNA) molecules are approximately 80 nucleotides in length. Their secondary structure includes four short double-helical elements and three loops (D, anti-codon, and T loops). Lineage: Eukaryota; Metazoa; Chordata; Mammalia; Rodentia; Sciuridae. The record is from RNAcentral.